RNAcentral lists this transfer RNA (67 nucleotides) under Tritoma metasobrina. RNAcentral describes it as "tRNA-Leu". It matches the Rfam family "tRNA". Rfam says of the family: Transfer RNA (tRNA) molecules are approximately 80 nucleotides in length. Their secondary structure includes four short double-helical elements and three loops (D, anti-codon, and T loops). Further hydrogen bonds mediate the characteristic L-shaped molecular structure. tRNAs have two regions of fundamental functional importance: the anti-codon, which is responsible for specific mRNA codon recognition, and the 3' end, to which the tRNAs corresponding amino acid is attached (by aminoacyl-tRNA synthetases). tRNAs cope with the degeneracy of the genetic code in two manners: having more than one tRNA (with a specific anti-codon) for a particular amino acid; and 'wobble' base-pairing, i.e. permitting non-standard base-pairing at the 3rd anti-codon position. Lineage: Eukaryota; Metazoa; Arthropoda; Insecta; Coleoptera; Erotylidae. The record is from RNAcentral.
GUUAUUUUGGCAGAAUAGUGCGAUUGAUUUAGAAUCUUUUUAUAUAAGAUUUAUCUUAUAAAUAAUA